CACUGACGUCGCGACGCAUAUCAAUAAGCGGAGGAAAAGAAACUAACAAGGAUUCCCUAGUAACGGCGAGUGAAGCGGGAAGAGCUCAAAUUUGAAAUCUUCAAGGUUUGACCUUGACGAAUUGUAGUUUAAAGAAGUGUUUUCGGUUAGAGAGUUUGGUAAAAGUUCUUUGGAAUAGGACAUCAUAGAGGGUGAGAAUCCCGUAUUUGGAUCAUUAUUUCUAGCUUUGUGAUACACUUUCAAAGAGUCGGAUUGUUUGGGAAUGCAGUCCAAAAUGGGUGGUAAAUUUCAUCUAAAGCUAAAUAUUGGCGAGAGACCGAUAGCGAACAAGUACCGUGAGGGAAAGAUGAAAAGAACUUUGAAAAGAGAGUUAAACAGUACGUGAAAUUGUCAAAAGGGAAGCGUUUGACACCAGUGUUGUUUUUCCGAAAAUCAAUUAUAAAUGUUUUGUUUCUGAGGAGUGAUGACUUCAUCGGCUUCCUUCUCUCUUCACGAAACUUCUGUAAUGCACUUUUCGGUUAACAAGUCAACAUCAAUUUCUUUUGUUGUAAAAGAGUAUUCGGAAGGUGGCUUUCUUUUCGGAGAAAGUGUUUAUAGCCCUAUACUUCUACAAUCGGAGAGAUUGAGGUCUGCAGCGUAGAUCCUUCGGGGUUAGAUACACUUGUGCUAAGUUAUAGCUUUUCAUAGACAACUUGUUGACUAUGUUUAGUCAUGCGGCUUACUCGCUUAUGCUAUUUUACCUACGCUUAGGAUGUUGAGUCGUAGAGCACGCAG
This 774-nucleotide ribosomal RNA is filed under the name uncultured Neocallimastigales. RNAcentral describes it as "partial large subunit ribosomal RNA". It matches the Rfam family "Eukaryotic large subunit ribosomal RNA", at positions 26 to 634 of the family's 3401-position model. Lineage: Eukaryota; Fungi; Neocallimastigomycota; Neocallimastigomycetes; Neocallimastigales. The record is from RNAcentral.